AGUGAACGCUGGCGGUAGGCCUAACACAUGCAAGUCGAACGGCAGCACAGGAGAGCUUGCUCUCUGGGUGGCGAGUGGCGGACGGGUGAGGAAUACAUCGGAAUCUACUUUUUCGUGGGGGAUAACGUAGGGAAACUUACGCUAAUACCGCAUACGACCUACGGGUGAAAGCAGGGGAUCUUCGGACCUUGCGCGAUUGAAUGAGCCGAUGUCGGAUUAGCUAGUUGGCGGGGUAAAGGCCCACCAAGGCGACGAUCCGUAGCUGGUCUGAGAGGAGGAUCAGCCACACUGGAACUGAGACACGGUCCAGACUCCUACGGGAGGCAGCAGUGGGGAAUAUUGGACAAUGGGCGCAAGCCUGAUCCAGCCAUACCGCGUGGGUGAAGAAGGCCUUCAGGUUGUAAAGCCCUUUUGUUGGGAAAGAAAUCCAGCUGGCUAAUACCCGGUUGGGAUGACGGUACCCAAAGAAUAAGCACCGGCUAACUUCGUGCCAGCAGCCGCCGUAA
Molecule: ribosomal RNA, 506 nt
Filed under: uncultured bacterium
Lineage: Bacteria
Description: partial 16S ribosomal RNA
Rfam family: Bacterial small subunit ribosomal RNA
Source: RNAcentral